RNAcentral lists this ribosomal RNA (234 nucleotides) under uncultured bacterium. Its description in RNAcentral is "partial 16S ribosomal RNA". It matches the Rfam family "Bacterial small subunit ribosomal RNA", at positions 118 to 351 of the family's 1533-position model. The record is from RNAcentral.
UGAGCAAUCUGCCCUUCUCAUCGGAAUAAGCGUUGGAAACGACGUCUAAUGCCGAAUACGACCUCCUUUCGCAUGAUCGGAGGUGGAAAGUUCCGGCGGAGAAGGAUGAGCUCGCGGCCUAUCAGCUAGUUGGUGUGGGUAAUGGCCCACCAAGGCGACGACGGGUAGCCGGCCUGAGAGGGUGACCGGCCACACUGGGACUGAGACACGGCCCAGACUCCGUACGGGAGGNAG